This 815-nucleotide ribosomal RNA is filed under the name uncultured bacterium. RNAcentral's name for it is "bacterial SSU rRNA". It matches the Rfam family "Bacterial small subunit ribosomal RNA", at positions 8 to 814 of the family's 1533-position model. The record is from RNAcentral.
AGAGUUUGAUCCUGGCUCAGGAUGAACACUAGCGGCAGGCUUAACACAUGCAAGUCGAAGGGCAUCGCGGGGAGUGCUUGCACUCCCUGGCGGCGACUGGCGCACGGGUGAGUAACACGUAUGCAACCUGCCCUCCACAGGGGGACAACCUUCCGAAAGGGAGGCUAAUCCCGCGUAAAUCUCGAUGGGGCAUCCCAUUGAGAGGAAAGCUUCGGCGGUGGAGGAUGGGCAUGCGGCGCAUUAGCUAGUCGGCGGGGUAACGGCCCACCGAGGCGACGAUGCGUAGGGGUUCUGAGAGGAAGGUCCCCCACACUGGUACUGAGACACGGACCAGACUCCUACGGGAGGCAGCAGUGAGGAAUAUUGGUCAAUGGGCGGGAGCCUGAACCAGCCAAGCCGCGUGAGGGAAUAAGGCCCUAUGGGUCGUAAACCUCUUUUGUCGGGGAACAAAAGCGGGGACGCGUCCCCGUCUGCGUGUACCCGAAGAAAAAGCAUCGGCUAACUCCGUGCCAGCAGCCGCGGUAAUACGGAGGAUGCGAGCGUUAUCCGGAUUUAUUGGGUUUAAAGGGUGCGUAGGCGGUAUGGUAAGUCAGCGGUAAAAGCCCGGGGCUCAACCCCGGCGAGCCGUUGAAACUGCCGUGCUAGAGAGGAAGAGAAGUAGGCGGAAUGCGCAGUGUAGCGGUGAAAUGCUUAGAUAUUGCGCAGAACUCCGAUUGCGAAGGCAGCCUACCGGCUUCUGUCUGACGCUGAGGCACGAAAGCGUGGGUAUCGAACAGAAUUAGAUACCCUGGUAGUCCACGCAGUAAACGAUGAAU